Molecule: long non-coding RNA, 383 nt
Organism: Suricata suricatta (meerkat)
Lineage: Eukaryota; Metazoa; Chordata; Mammalia; Carnivora; Herpestidae
Exons: 3
Source: RefSeq, a predicted model, not a curated record
AGACAUCAGGGCGCUAGGCUUCCUUUGAUGGAAAAGUCUUAGCACCUGGUCUUAACUUCCCGCCGAUAAAUGUCCGCGCAGCCCAAUCCCCUGGUGGCCCAGACUCCCUCGGGGCCUCUCCUCGCGCCUCAGUAGCAACUCCGCCAUCUUGGCUAGAACCACUCUUUCGAGGACUACAAAUCCCGGCAUCCAAAGCAGGUAGCCGCUCCUGGCCAGGCGUCUGGAGCCACAGAUGGUUCAGUAUCCCUAUUUGUCAUUUCCUCCGCCAAGAAUGCUACCAUCCCGACUUCAAACAACCCUGCUUACUUUUGCCGCUUUAGAAGUUUAUGUAAAGUCAACCACAUGAGAGAGCAAGAGAGAGAGCGUGAGUGGAGGAGAGGGGC